GUCGGGAUAGCUCAGCUGGUAGAGCAGGAG
This 30-nucleotide transfer RNA is filed under the name Cantua volcanica. Its description in RNAcentral is "partial tRNA-Phe". Lineage: Eukaryota; Viridiplantae; Streptophyta; Magnoliopsida; Ericales; Polemoniaceae. The record is from RNAcentral.